GAUGAAGAACGUAGCGAAAUGCGAUAAGUAGUGUGAAUUGCAGAAUUCAGUGAAUCAUCGAAUCUUUGAACGCACAUUGCGCCCUUUGGUAUUCCUUAGGGCAUGCCUGUUCGAGCGUCAUUUAAACCUUCAAGCUAAGCUUGGUGUUGGGUGACUGUCCGCUUCACGGCGGACUCGCCUCAAAACGAUUGGCAGCCGGCGUAUUGAUUUCGGAGCGCAGUACAUCUCGCGCUUUGACAACAAAACGACGACGUCCAAAAAGUACAUUUUUUACACUCUUGACCUCGGAUCAGGUAGGGAUACCCGCUGAACUUAAGCAUAUCAAUAAGCGGAGGA
RNAcentral lists this unclassified non-coding RNA (336 nucleotides) under soil metagenome. RNAcentral's name for it is "partial contains 5.8S ribosomal RNA, internal transcribed spacer 2, and large subunit ribosomal RNA". The stretch from base 1 to 120 matches the Rfam family "5.8S ribosomal RNA", at positions 35 to 154 of the family's 154-position model. The record is from RNAcentral.